UACGAAGGGGGCUAGCGUUGCUCGGAAUCACUGGGCGUAAAGGGUGCGUAGGCGGGUCUUUAAGUCAGGGGUGAAAUCCUGGAGCUCAACUCCAGAACUGCCUUUGAUACUGAAGAUCUUGAAUUCAGUUGAGGUGGGCGGAAUGUGUCGUGUAGCGGUGAAAUGCUUAGAUAUGACACAGAACACCGAUUGCGAAGGCAGCUCGCUAAACUGACAUUGACGCUGAGGCACGAAAGCGUGGGGAUCAAACAGG
Molecule: ribosomal RNA, 253 nt
Filed under: uncultured bacterium
Lineage: Bacteria
Description: partial 16S ribosomal RNA
Rfam family: Bacterial small subunit ribosomal RNA
Source: RNAcentral